This 2683-nucleotide long non-coding RNA is filed under the name Lynx pardinus (Iberian lynx). Lineage: Eukaryota; Metazoa; Chordata; Mammalia; Carnivora; Felidae. The record is from RNAcentral.
CAGACCCUGCCUGUCCACGUUCCUGCUCAGGCCAUUCCGUCUCUGUAGGUGGAACCCACUGGGCAGAGAGUGUUUCUGAAAAACACACCUGGCAGAGACCUGUCAGAAAGGGGUCAGUGUUUGGGACCAAGAAGAGAGAGGCGUCCUUGAGAAGGGAAGUCAGGCUUUCACACCACAUCUGCAGCAUGUUCCCACCAUUCCUUCGGGAAAAAAAGGGAGCUCCUUGGAGAAUCAACUUGCACUUGGAGCCCUCUGAUGAUCCCAUCCAGCAGCAGCUGCAUUAAUCCCUCCCAGCCAACCGUAUUCCCAGCCUUUCGUAUUUCAAAGUCUCAUAAACUUUGAACUGAUACCAGGUUUAUAUGCAGUAAGUGCUAUGGCUUAGCAAUCUGCAAGUGAGUUGUCAUUCCCUCCUAAAGCAUCAGUACCUUAGACCUCAGUGCUUGAUAAGUCAAGGCACUUCAUCUGAGUUUCACAAAGGUCAGACCUUUGGAAUUGGAACUUAUUCUUUGGGGAUAGGUCAUACCACCAGCACCCACCAACAGAUCAUCAUUUUUCCUAUUGAGGUUCUAUUCUAUUUCAGGCAUUUUGCACUUUAGGUGAAAAAUUUCUAAUGAAGGAGACAACAUUAGACCAUAAAUUCAAUAUGAUUAUUGUCAUCCUUCCCUCCAGAAAGAGGAAGAAUUGGCCAAACAAGGUAGUAAAAACGCAACCGUUCUAAAUUCUGUCUCCACGUAGAAAAUAACGGGAAUACUAAGACUUGUAACAAUAGCAAUCCUGCAGGUUGACAAGGAUGUGUAGGAGAGGCGGUGAGCAACACCGAAAUUCCUUCAGGUAUUUGCAGAACUUCUGAGCUAACGUUAAAAGCUAAAAUUAUCAUCAAAAAUACAAAGUAUUUUUAACCCGACAUAAAUUAACAAUGUGCCUAUGUCAAUUCUGUUGUUCUUGAGAUGACUAUGUCCUUUGGAAAAUUUUUAAGUAACUUAAGAUAUCCACCACGAAUUUACUAUUUCAGGGAAGGUGCUUGUUUUUUGGUUUUUGUUUCUUUACCUGCAAAAUAUCUUCUACGCCAUCAGGAGUACUGUUCACCAGCUACUGGCAAAACCUGGUUGAAGUUCCCCAUGGUAUGUUCUGGAUUAUUGGUUGGUGAUCAUAGCCAUGCUCUGCCUACUGAUCCAUUUAUGUGGGCAAGAUUUCAAAAUACCUUAAUAAAAAAUAAUACAAGCAAAAUGUGGUUGCCUGUAUCACCAGGAACUUCCAUACAGCACCGCUCAGAAAAGUUGACUUUAAAGUCCUCUAAAAGGAUUUUAAAGUCCUACAACUCCUUUAAAAUAGUCAUUUUUUAUUAAAAAAAAAAAGCAAGAUUAUAAAAUAGAAGCCAUUUCAGGAAACUUCCCAUCGUUUAGUGCCUGAACAGAGAUAGUAAAGAGAAAGAGGAGAGGGUUUCAGGCUAAAGGAAUGGAAAGAGUGUUUUGUGGAUUGAACGUUUGUGUCCCUCCCCACCCAAAUUCACAUGUUGAAGCCCUAACCCUCAAUGUUAAGGAUCACUGGGAGAUACUUAGGUUUAGAUGAGGUCAUGAAGGUUUUACUAAUAAUGGUAUUAGCAUCCCUAUAAAGAGAGGAAGGAAGACCUGAGCUCUUUGUGCAUCUGCACACAAAGAUGUUAUCUGAGCACUUGGCAAGAUGGCGGCCUUCAGGGAGCCAGAGAGACCUCAGCAAGAACCAAAUCUGCUGGCACAUUGACCUUGGACUUCCAAGCCUCCAAAACUGUGGGAAAUAAAUGUCUGCUGUUUAAAACACUCAUUCUGUGGUGUUUUGUUAUAGCAGUUGGAGCUAAGACAGGAUGCCUGCUGGGAGAGAAAUAAUAGUAUUUGAAGGAAAUUUAAAGUGCCCACUGGAAAGCAAUAAACAGCUUCAGCAUUGUCACCCACUGAAACAGAAUCAUCACAAUAAAACUGUCCCAUGCCAUGUCUCUUGGAUACUUAAUGUCUCCUUAGGUUAAGUGAAGAGAAGCCUAUAGUGCUUUGAAAUGAAUAUGGCCUCACCUACAGGUUACCAAAGGGCCCCUGACAAGUAUCAGCCCCUAGAAUGCACCCACCCUCAGCAGACUUCAAAGCAGACAGGGUAGCUCUAGAUAAUAAAUAGUCAAAACUUCUUCUAGAGCUAAAUAAGAACUUUAAUAUAGCUUAGAUUUUAGCAACAUGUAGACACUUCUGGGUCUAGGUCUUAAGUAAAGUAUUUAAAACUUAAGUAAGAUAUUAAUAUACUGUAAAGGGAAUCAAACUGAUACAAAUCUCUUCCCAGAUAUCUUAAUACACUUAAUUAAUUAAUAAUUAAUUACUACACUUACAUCAUCUAUUAGUGAUGUCUUACAUAUAAUGGUCCCAAGGUCCACAGUCUAAACUUGAGAAACAACAGAUUUGCCGAAAAAGAAAAUGGAAACGUUAUUAUCAUCAUGAAAAGUAGAACGAUUGGGCAGAUAGCCAUUGGUAUCUGUGGAUAAAAAUUUUAUUACAUUCGCGUAACAUCAAUUUUAAUUCCAAGUUUAGUCUCUGCUAUCAGUAGCCUCCUGUUAUAGUUAAAUUGUCAUAAAUGCUGUGAUGCUAACAAAAUCUCAGAAAGGCACUCUGGUGGAUUCCUGAAAUAAAUAAAUCUUUUCAAACUAAAAAAAAAAUGAGAAAGGAGA